AGAGUUUGAUCCUGGCUCAGGACGAACGCUGGCGGCGUGCCUAACACAUGCAAGUCGAGCGGAGAUGAUAGCAAUAUCGUCUUAGCGGCGGUCUUAGCGGCGGACGGGUGAGUAACGCGUGGGCAACCUGCCUUUAUCUGGGGGAUAACAUCGGGAAACCGGUGCUAAUACCGCAUAACAUCGCACUUCCGCAUGGGAGAGCGAUCAAAGGAGCAAUCCGGAUAGAGAUGGGCCCGCGUCCGAUUAGAUAGUUGGUGGGGUAAUGGCCUACCAAGUCGACGAUCGGUAGCCGGACUGAGAGGUUGAUCGGCCACAUUGGGACUGAGAUACGGCCCAGACUCCUACGGGGGGCAGCAGUGGGGAAUCUUCCGCAAUGGGCGAAAGCCUGACGGAGCAACGCCGCGUGUAUGAUGAAGGUCUUCGGGUAAACUUCUUUGACCGGGGACGAAACAAAUGACGGUACCCGGAAAACAAGCCACGGCUAACUACGUGCCAGCAGCCGCGGUAAUACGUAGGUGGCGAGCGUUGUCCGGAAUUACUGGGUGUAAAGAAUGCGUAGGUGGAUAUUUAAGUGGGAUGUGAAAUCCCCGGGCUCAACCCGGGAACUGCAUCGGAAACUGGACAUCUUGAGUGCAGGAGAGGAAAGCGGAAUUCCUAGUGUAGCGGUGAAAUGCGUAGAUAUUAGGAGGAACACCAGUGGCGAAGGCGGCUUUCUGGACUGUAACUGACACUGAGGCACGAAAGCGUGGGGAGCAAACAGGAUUAGAUACCCUGGUAGUCCACGCGGUAAACGAUGGAUACUAGGUGUCGGGGGUAUCGACCCCCUCGGUGCCACAGCUAACGCAAUAAGCACUCCGCCUGGGGAGUACGGUCGCAAGACUGAAACUCAAAGGAAUUGACGGGGGCCCGCACAAGCGGUGGAGUAUGUGGUUUAAUUCGACGCAACGCGAAGAACCUUACCAAGGCUUGACAUCCUGUGACGUCUAUGGAAACAUAGAGUCUCUUCGGAGGAAGUGAGACAGGUGGUGCAUGGUUGUCGUCAGCUCGUGUCGUGAGAUGUUGGGUUAAGUCCCGCAACGAGCGCAACCCCUGUUGCUAGUUGCCAGCACGUAAUGGUGGGAACUCUAGCAGAACUGCCGUUGACAAAACGGAGGAAGGUGGGGAUGACGUCAAAUCAUCAUGCCCCUUAUGUCUUGGGCUACACACGUGCUACAAUGGCCGGUACAGACGGAAGCGAAGCCGCGAGGUGAAGCAAAUCCGAGAAAGCCGGUCUCAGUUCGGAUUGCAGGCUGCAACUCGCCUGCAUGAAGUCGGAAUCGCUAGUAAUCGCAGGUCAGCAUACUGCGGUGAAUACGUUCCCGGGCCUUGUACACACCGCCCGUCACACCACGAAAGUCUGCAACACCCGAAGCCGGUGAGGUAACCCGUAAGGGAGCUAGCCGUCGAAGGUGGGGCCGAUGAUUGGGGUGAAGUCGUAACAAGGUAACC
This 1488-nucleotide ribosomal RNA is filed under the name uncultured bacterium. Its description in RNAcentral is "16S ribosomal RNA". It matches the Rfam family "Bacterial small subunit ribosomal RNA". The record is from RNAcentral.